CCUACGGGUGGCUGCAGUGGGGAAUAUUGGACAAUGGGCGAAAGCCUGAUCCAGCCAUGCCGCGUGUGUGAAGAAGGCCUUCGGGUUGUAAAGCACUUUCAGUGGGGAAGAAAGCCUUGGGGCUAAUACCCUCGAGGAAGGACAUCACCCACAGAAGAAGCACCGGCUAACUCCGUGCCAGCAGCCGCGGUAAUACGGAGGGUGCGAGCGUUAAUCGGAAUUACUGGGCGUAAAGCGCGCGUAGGCGGUCUGAUAAGCCGGUUGUGAAAGCCCCGGGCUCAACCUGGGAACGGCAUCCGGAACUGUCAGGCUAGAGUGCAGGAGAGGAAGGUAGAAUUCCCGGUGUAGCGUUGAAAUGCGUAGAGAUCGGAAGGAAUACCAGUGGCGAAGGCGGCCUUCUGGACUGACACUGACGCUGAGGUGCGAAAGCGUGGGUAGCAAACAGGAUUAGAUACCGAGUAGUC
Molecule: ribosomal RNA, 464 nt
Filed under: Vreelandella stevensii
Lineage: Bacteria; Pseudomonadati; Pseudomonadota; Gammaproteobacteria; Oceanospirillales; Halomonadaceae
Description: partial 16S ribosomal RNA
Rfam family: Bacterial small subunit ribosomal RNA
Source: RNAcentral